CCCGCACAAGCGGCGGAGCAUGCGGAUUAAUUCGAUGCAACGCGAAGAACCUUACCAAGGCUUGACAUACACCGGUAACGCCCAGAGAUGGUGCCCCUUUGUGGUCGGUGUACAGGUGGUGCAUGGUUGUCGUCAGCUCGUGUCGUGAGAUGUUGGGUUAAGUCCCGCAACGAGCGCAACCCUCGUCCUAUGUUGCCAGCGGGUCAUGCCGGGGACUCAUGGGAGACUGCCGGGGUCAACUCGGAGGAAGGUGGGGAUGACGUCAAAUCAUCAUGCCCCUUAUAGGUGGGGCUACACACGUCAUACAAUGGAUGGUACAAAGGGUCGCCAACCCGCGAGGGGGAGCCAAUCCCAUAAAGCCAUUCGUAGUCCGGAUCGCAGUCUGCAACUCGACUGCGUGAAGUCGGAAUCGCUAGUAAUCGUGGAUCAGAAUGUCACGGUGAAUACGUUCCCGGGUCUU
This 460-nucleotide ribosomal RNA is filed under the name uncultured Hymenobacter sp. Its description in RNAcentral is "bacterial SSU rRNA". It matches the Rfam family "Bacterial small subunit ribosomal RNA", at positions 920 to 1382 of the family's 1533-position model. The record is from RNAcentral. Lineage: Bacteria; Pseudomonadati; Bacteroidota; Cytophagia; Cytophagales; Hymenobacteraceae.